This 510-nucleotide ribosomal RNA is filed under the name uncultured bacterium. RNAcentral's name for it is "partial 16S ribosomal RNA". It matches the Rfam family "Bacterial small subunit ribosomal RNA", at positions 28 to 507 of the family's 1533-position model. The record is from RNAcentral.
GACGAACGCUGGCGGCGUGCUUAACACAUGCAAGUCGAACGAAGAGCGACGGAAGCUUGCUUCUAUCAAUCUUAGUGGCGAACGGGUGAGUAACGCGUAAUCAACCUGCCCUUCAGAGGGGGACAACAGUUGGAAACGACUGCUAAUACCGCAUACGAUCUAACCUCGGCAUCGAGGAUAGAUGAAAGGUGGCCUCUACAUGUAAGCUAUCACUGAAGGAGGGGAUUGCGUCUGAUUAGCUAGUUGGAGGGGUAACGGCCCACCAAGGCGAUGAUCAGUAGCCGGUCUGAGAGGAUGAACGGCCACAUUGGGACUGAGACACGGCCCAGACUCCUACGGGAGGCAGCAGUGGGGAAUCUUCCGCAAUGGACGAAAGGCUGACGGAGCAACGCCGCGUGAGUGAUGACGGCCUUCGGGUUGUAAAGCUCUGUUAAUCGGGACGAAAGGCCUUCUUGCGAAUAGUGAGAAGGAUUGACGGUACCGGAAUAGAAAGCCACGGCUAACUACGUG